This 311-nucleotide ribosomal RNA is filed under the name uncultured Plesiocystis sp. RNAcentral's name for it is "bacterial SSU rRNA". It matches the Rfam family "Bacterial small subunit ribosomal RNA", at positions 29 to 334 of the family's 1533-position model. The record is from RNAcentral. Lineage: Bacteria; Pseudomonadati; Myxococcota; Nannocystales; Nannocystaceae.
AGCGAACGUUUGCGGCGGGCCUAACACAUGCAAGUCGAACGAGAAGCCACCUUCGGGUGGUGGACAGUGGCGCACGGGUGCGUAACACGUGGAUAAUCAACCCCUUUGGCUGGGACAACACUGGGGAACUGGUGCUAAUACCGGAUAAGACGAAGAGCUCCCCGGAGCUUUUCGGGAAAGACCCGCAAGGGUUACUGAGGGACGAGUCCGCGGCCCAUCAGCUUGUUGGUGAGGUAAGAGCUCACCAAGGCUAAGACGGGUAGCUGGUCUGAGAGGAUGACCAGUCACACUGGAACUGAGACACGGUCCAG